GAUCAUGGCUCAGGACGAACGCUGGCGGCGCGCCUAACACAUGCAAGUCGAACGGAGAUUACAGGCGGAAGUUUUUCGGAUGGAAGCUUGUAAACUUAGUGGCGGACGGGUGAGUAACACGUGAGCAACCUGCCUAUCAGGAGGGGGAUAACGAUUGGAAACGAUCGCUAAUACCGCAUGACAUAGCGGGAACCGCAUGGUUCUGUUAUCAAAGAUUUUAUCGCUGAUAGAUGGG
This 235-nucleotide ribosomal RNA is filed under the name uncultured bacterium. RNAcentral's name for it is "partial 16S ribosomal RNA". It matches the Rfam family "Bacterial small subunit ribosomal RNA", at positions 15 to 229 of the family's 1533-position model. The record is from RNAcentral.